RNAcentral lists this ribosomal RNA (496 nucleotides) under uncultured bacterium. RNAcentral describes it as "partial 16S ribosomal RNA". It matches the Rfam family "Bacterial small subunit ribosomal RNA", at positions 29 to 507 of the family's 1533-position model. The record is from RNAcentral.
ACGAACGCUGGCGGCGUGCCUAAUACAUGCCAGUUGAGCGCUGAAGGUUGGUACUUGUACCCACUGGAUGAGCAGCGAACGGGUGAGUAACGCGUGGGGAAUCUGCCUUUGAGCGGGGGACAACAUUUGGAAACGAAUGCUAAUACCGCAUAAAAACUUUAAACACAAGUUUUAAGUUUGAAAGAUGCAAUUGCAUCACUCAAAGAUGAUCCCGCGUUGUAUUAGCUAGUUGGUGAGGUAAAGGCUCACCAAGGCGAUGAUACAUAGCCGACCUGAGAGGGUGAUCGGCCACAUUGGGACUGAGACACGGCCCAAACUCCUACGGGAGGCAGCAGUAGGGAAUCUUCGGCAAUGGACGAAAGUCUGACCGAGCAACGCCGCGUGAGUGAAGAAGGUUUUCGGAUCGUAAAACUCUGUUGGUAGAGAAGAACGUUGGUGAGAGUGGAAAGCUCAUCAAGUGACGGUAACUACCCAGAAAGGGACGGCUAACUACGUG